Molecule: ribosomal RNA, 497 nt
Filed under: uncultured bacterium
Lineage: Bacteria
Description: partial 16S ribosomal RNA
Rfam family: Bacterial small subunit ribosomal RNA
Source: RNAcentral
GAUGAACGCUGGCGGCGUGCCUAAUACAUGCAAGUCGAGCGAACAGACGAGGAGCUUGCUCCUCUGACGUUAGCGGUGGACGGGUGAGUAACACGUGGAUAACCUACCUAUAAGACUGGGAUAACUUCGGGAAACCGGAGCUAAUACCGGAUAAUAUAUUGAACCGCAUGGUUCAAUAGUGAAAGACGGUUUUGCUGUCACUUAUAGAUGGAUCCGCGCCGCAUUAGCUAGUUGGUAAGGUAACGGCUUACCAAGGCGACGAUGCGUAGCCGACCUGAGAGGGUGAUCGGCCACACUGGAACUGAGACACGGUCCAGACUCCUACGGGAGGCAGCAGUAGGGAACCUUCCGCAAUGGGCGAAAGCCUGACGGAGCAACGCCGCGUGAGUGAUGAAGGUCUUCGGAUCGUAAAACUCUGUUAUUAGGGAAGAACAAAUGUGUAAGUAACUAUGCACGUCUUGACGGUACCUAAUCAGAAAGCCACGGCUAACUACGUG